AAUUCUCAACCCCUUCAGCUUUGUGUUGAACUUGGGGCUUGGAUGUGGAGGUGUUGUUGGCUUUUUACAAGGUCAACUCCUCUGAAAUGCAUUAGCGGAACUGUUUGCGAUCCGUCACAGGUGUGAUAAUUAUCUAUGCCAGUGGAUUGCUCUCUGUUGUUCAGCUGCCAACUGUCCUUGUGGACAACCAAUACUGAUU
RNAcentral lists this unclassified non-coding RNA (199 nucleotides) under uncultured Agaricaceae. RNAcentral's name for it is "sequence contains ITS2". Lineage: Eukaryota; Fungi; Basidiomycota; Agaricomycetes; Agaricales; Agaricaceae. The record is from RNAcentral.